GACUCAUUCUCCUGCCAAGGGAGACCAGGAGUCACUGGUACUCAGACAAAGGUCACAUCCCUUCUUGAACUCUGAAUCAUAUAUAAUCUCAUCAAUGACUCUGCCAUGACUGCUUUCUUUCACAAUGGGACUGACCAGUGGGUGCCAAAUCCUCUUUUAUGAAAUUUGCUAAAUCAGUCAGUGAGCCAUAAACAAGGUCCGGCUUGAGGGCCCAUAGGCAAUCGCCAGGCCAUUUUGACAAAGAACUUUAAUAAUCCUGUCAUUUAACAUAUGUUUGCCCUUUGUUUUUCUUGUUGCCACGCCUCCAUCUCCCCCAUUAGCCUACGAGGGAGUGAUGUCACAAACAGGGCUCGCGCUCCCAUUGGAUGAAGUGUGCAAGCCUCCCAGACCACCCCUCCUACCUCCUGAUGUCAGGGGCUCCCCUGACCAAUCAGUGAGGAGUCAGCUGGGUGGGUGGGUGCAAAAUUAUAAAAAGUGCAAUUUUUCUGUAAUGGCGUGUCAGUUCUUUCUGCAAUCUAUUGCUGCUGUCAUCCUGCUCCAACUGGACAGAAUAAACACUUUGGUGAUCUCUGCUUCUAACCUGGGCAAAAACUAGAAACAUCUGCAGCCAAGGAAACCCAAGAGGAGAUAAAAGCUAUGUAGCCAAUCAAAAUGUGUUUCACUGGAGCAGAAAGACAAGCAAAGAGACUCUAGAUGUCAAUGUAUCUGCCUCAUUUUCAGGAUGUUUUGUCAUUCAGCAGGACAGCUUCAAGGAAUAUGGAAGACAAGAAAAUGGAAGUGACUGGCUCCCUAUCAUACCUUGCAAAAAAAAAAGCUUCCAUGCCA
Long non-coding RNA from Anolis carolinensis (green anole), 825 nucleotides. RefSeq lists it as uncharacterized. The transcript is spliced from 3 exons. NCBI's taxonomy places the organism in Eukaryota, Metazoa, Chordata, Lepidosauria, Squamata, Anolidae. The record is from RefSeq and is a predicted model, not a curated record.